UUCUUCAGGGCGGGGUGCAAUUCCCCACUGGCGGUACAGUCCGCGACCCGCCGCAGGGCGGCUGAUUUGGUGCGAUUCCAAAACCAACAGUUACAGUCUGGAUGGAAGAAGA
RNAcentral lists this non-coding RNA (112 nucleotides) under chicken gut metagenome. RNAcentral's name for it is "FMN riboswitch (RFN element)". It matches the Rfam family "FMN riboswitch aptamer (RFN element)". Rfam says of the family: The RFN element is a highly conserved domain that is found frequently in the 5'-untranslated regions of prokaryotic mRNAs that encode for flavin mononucleotide (FMN) biosynthesis and transport proteins. This element is a metabolite-dependent riboswitch that directly binds FMN in the absence of proteins. In Bacillus subtilis, the riboswitch most likely controls gene expression by causing premature transcription termination within the 5' untranslated region of the ribDEAHT operon and precluding access to the ribosome-binding site of ypaA mRNA. The record is from RNAcentral.